GACGAACGCUGGCGGCGUGCUUAACACAUGCAAGUCGAACGGUGAAGGGACUGGUUUUGCUGGUCCUGGAUGAGUGGCGAACGGGUGAGUAACACGUGAGUAACCUGCCCCCUUCUUCUGGAUAACCGCAUGAAAGUGUGGCUAAUACGGGAUAUUCUGGGUCUGUCGCAUGGUGGGCCUGGGAACGAUUGCGCCUUUUUUGGUGUUUUUGGUGGGGGAUGGGCUCGCGGCCUAUCAGCUUGUUGGUGGUGUGAUGGCCUACCAAGGCGGUGACGGGUAGCCGGCCUGAGAGGGUGGACGGGCACACUGGGACUGAGACACGGCCCAGACUCCUACGGGAGGCAGCAGUGGGGAAUAUUGCACAAUGGGCGCAAGCCUGAUGCAGCGACGCCGCGUGAGGGAUGGAGGCCUUCGGGUUGUGAACCUCUUUCGCCAGUGAAGCAGGCCUGCCUCUUUUUGUGGGUGGGUUGACGGUAGCUGGAGAAGAAGCGCCGGCUAACUACGUG
This 506-nucleotide ribosomal RNA is filed under the name uncultured bacterium. RNAcentral's name for it is "partial 16S ribosomal RNA". It matches the Rfam family "Bacterial small subunit ribosomal RNA", at positions 28 to 507 of the family's 1533-position model. The record is from RNAcentral.